RNAcentral lists this ribosomal RNA (255 nucleotides) under uncultured bacterium. RNAcentral describes it as "partial 16S ribosomal RNA". It matches the Rfam family "Bacterial small subunit ribosomal RNA", at positions 524 to 776 of the family's 1533-position model. The record is from RNAcentral.
UACGUAGGGUGCAAGCGUUUGUCCGGAAUUAUUGGGCGUAAAGAGUUCGUAGGCGGUUUGUCGCGUCCGUUGUGAAAGCUUGGGGGCUCAACCCCAAGUCUGCAGUGGAUACGGGCAGACUAGAGUCAGGUAGGGGAGAACGGAAUUCCUGGUGUAGCGGUGAAAUGCGUAGAUAUUGGGAAGAACACCUGAGGCGAAGGCGGGUUGCUGGGCUGAUACUGACGCUGAGGCGCGAAAGCCAGGGGAGCAAACGGG